CAGGGAGCACGUUCCUGAUGGCCAGCAUGCCCUCAAGUCAUUUUCGUCUGCAGAUCCUGAUUCAUCUCAGCCUGUCUCGGCAUGCCACUUCGCCAGACCACUUAGCAUCCCCAACAACACCGUUUCUUCUUGUGUCUCCCAGGUAAAGAUGCAGAUUGUUAUCCAGGGCAAGAUGGUGCAGCAGCCUCAGUGCAAGGAUACGUGUGCGUGUGUAYAACAGGGGAAGAGGAAGAGAGAGAGCAGGGCAAAAGUGCCCUGAACACACCUUUGCACCUCCUCACGUUCUUGGCGUGACCUUGCUAUCAAUGUGAGAAGUUUCACCGUUGUCCUAUUCUGCUUUUUGCAGCAGCCAGGAGUAUCUGGAGCACAGCCUCCUCCUAGCCUGACCGUGACGGUGACCCAGUCCCUACCCAAAGGCUGCUGGGGGCAUGGAGGAGAGCCAUUUUCCCCAUGUAGCCCUGCCUAGGAUCUCGCUCUUCCCUU
This 483-nucleotide long non-coding RNA is filed under the name Dromaius novaehollandiae (emu). Its description in RNAcentral is "lncRNA (ENSDNVG00000014429.1)". Lineage: Eukaryota; Metazoa; Chordata; Aves; Casuariiformes; Dromaiidae. The record is from RNAcentral.